RNAcentral lists this ribosomal RNA (4935 nucleotides) under Pyropia haitanensis. Its description in RNAcentral is "eukaryotic LSU rRNA". The stretch from base 1 to 3884 matches the Rfam family "Eukaryotic large subunit ribosomal RNA". Lineage: Eukaryota; Rhodophyta; Bangiophyceae; Bangiales; Bangiaceae. The record is from RNAcentral.
CGGAGGAAGAGAAACUAAAAAGGAUUCCCUCAGUAGCGGCGAGCGAAGCGGGAAAAGCUCAACAUGAAAACCGGUAGGGGUACACCCCCCCCUGACCGGGUUGUAGGGUAAAGUGGUGUCGUCAGUGUCGAGUCGGAUAUAAAUCCCGUUUGGAAUGGGGUGUCAUAGAGGGUGAUAACCCCGUCUUUGAUCCGACAUGCCGAUGCGUUACGAUGACCUUACAAAGAGUCGGGUUGCUUGGGCAUGCAGCCCAAAGUGGGUGGUAAACUCCAUCUAAAGCUAAAUAUCAGCGAGAGACCGAUAGUGUACAAGUACCGUAAGGGAAAGAUGCAAAGAACUUUGAAAAGAGAGUCAAACAGGGCUUGAAACCGUUAAGAGAGAAGCGAAGGAGGCCAGUGAUCAUGGGGCCAGAUCCCCAAGUGCCCGUACAGGGGCGCCGUAACGUUCUGGUUUUUCCCGGGGCAGCGCCGACCGGCGGGCUCGUGACAAAGGGGAGGGGGUUGAGGGAUUUAUUUCCCGCCUCUUGCUCCUCUAUGGCUUUGCCUCUGGUCGAGGGCGUUUACACCUUCCACUUUAUUGUGUGAGGGCGCUGUCAAAAUGGCCUUUUCCAUCCCGUCUUGAAACACGGACCAAGGAGUCUAACAUACUCGCAAGUGUUUGGGUGUUUAAAACCUCUGCGCACAAUGAAAGUAAAUCGGUAGCUCUGCGUUACUGUACGGUGGGAACCCUAACGUAUGUAUACAUGGGGGCACCAUCACCCGGUCCCGAUCCCCUCGGGGUGGUUGGUUUCGUGGCAGAGCGAGUAUGCUGGGACCCGAAAGAUGGUGAACUAUUCCUGAAUAGGGCAAAGCCAGAGGAAACUCUGGUGGAGGCUCGUAGCGAUGCUGACGUGCAAAUCGCUCGUCGAAUUUGGGUAUAGGGGCGAAAGACUAAUCGAACCAUCUAGUAGCUGGUUCCCUCCGAAGUUUCCCUCAGGAUAGCGAGAGCAAAUGCAAGUCAGUAUCAUCCGGUAAAGCGAAUGAUUAGAGGCCUCGGGGGAGUAACUCCUUCGACCUAUUCUCAAACUUUAAAUAGGUGAGGCGCCGGUCAAGUUGCUUCGAACAAUGAACGCCGUGCGGACAAUGAUUGCUCUUAGUGGGCCGAUUUUGGUAAGCAGAACUGGCGAUGCGGGAUGAACCGAAAGCGACGCUAAGGUGCCAAACUCCCGGCUCAUUCAGACACCAGAAAAGGUGUUGAUUCAUACAGACAGCAGGACGGUGGCCAUGGAAGUCGGAAUCCGCUAAGGAGUGUGUAACAACUCACCUGCCGAAUGGAUCAGCCCUGAAAAUGGAUGGCGCUUAAGCAGGGGACCGAGGCGUUGCCGUUGGGGCAAAUACGAGGCCCUGAUGAGUAGGAGGGCGUGGGGGUUUUGAAAUACGGUACAUUCGCGUGGAAGCCUUGGGCGUGAGCUCGGGUGGAGCGGCCCCUAGUGUAGAUCUUGGUGGUAGUAGCAAAUAUUCAAGUGGGAACCUUGAAGACUGAAGUGGGGAAGGGUUCCACGCGAACAGUGCUUGGACGUGGGUUAGUCGGUCCUAAGAGAUGGGGAAACUCUGUAGCCAAGUGCGCUCUUAUUUUUUCGCAGCGCAGUCCAUCAAAAGGGAAGCGGGUUAACAUUCUCGCACCGGGAUGUGGAAACUGUGGUUACCGCAAACUGCGGCAACGCAAAUGAACUUGGGGACGCCCGUAGGAGCUCCGAACAGGGAUCUCUUUCCUGUUUAACGCGCUCAACCCCCUGGAAUCGGUUUGUCCGGAGAUAGGGGGCGGAAGGCCGGAAAAGCACCGCACGUCUUGUGGUGUUCGGAACGCUCGUAAUGGCCCUUGAAAACCCAGGGGAAAGCAGCCGUCCACGCGCCUCUUCUGGAUGCGGGACGAGUAAUUCUCACACCUGGCCGUACCCAUAACCGCAUCAGGUCCCCAAGGUGAACAGCCUCUAGUCAAUAGAAUAAUGCAGGAAAAAAUAGAUAAGGGAAGUCGGCAAAAUAGAUCCGUAACUUUGGGAAAAGGAUUGGCUCUAAUGUUCGGGCCUGUUGGGACGCGCGGGCCUAGACGCCAGCGAGCGGCAGAAGGCUACCCCUUUUUCCGGGAUGGCUGGAAGCUGCUUGUUGGAAGAAACCGUGUCGAAUAGAGGCUAGCUGGGUGGCGCCCCCCUUUGCUUUCGGGGAGGGGGGGGCCCGCCUGCUGUGCUUCUUCCCGCUUGCGAUCAACGAACGGAUUAGAACUGGUACGGACAAGGGGAAUCCGACUGUUUAAUUAAAACAAAGCAUUGCGACGCCCGCAAACGGUGUUAACGCAAUGUGAUUUCUGCCCAGUGCUCUGAAUGUCAAAGCGAAGAAAUUCAACCAAGCGCGGGUAAACGGCGGGAGUAACUAUGACUCUCUUUUCCUGUGUACGCGCGCGCGCCCCGCUGCGCUACUUUUUGAGAGAGAUAGGCGGGCUGAAAAAGGUUAAGCCGUCUAGUUCCUCUUUCCCUAGGGAGAGAGGGGCAACACACCUGGUUGCGGGGACCCUGCCCGCCUUUUUCCAAGAAAAAGGCGGGAACCAGCCCAUUCCUACCCCUGCUUGUGAGGCAUAUAGUAAGUAGCAGCAGGGGGAUCUCGGCGAGAGGCCGAACCCGGAAAAAGGAACAACGUGGGCUGGGAGGCAACCUGCAGGCGAGUCCGUAACUAUAUGAUUAUCGACGGGCCGUCUCAACGACUGGUAAGGUGUGGGUUUGCUUUGACAAAAAAGCGGGCUUAAGGUACAGUCUAAUCCCACCCGCCAAGGGUGCUUGGGUGUAAUCCCCGUAUGCAAAAAGGGGGGGAACUAGCCCAGGGGCUGGGACGAUGGGAGGAAAUGCCCCGUCCCUAUAGUCGGUAGAAAUGAAGGUAGCCAAAUGCCUCGUCAUCUAGACACUACUUGGAUGAGAUAGUCUGAGUGAAAAGCUUAUGCAGGCUAGUACACAAAGCAGCUUUUUCUGCUUGCGUGCGACACUCCUUGUACAGGGAAGCCCUCCACUGAAAGGCACGUGGUACCACCCUCUGCGGGGAAACUCGCGGGCGGGGAUCCCGGGUAAUGACCGGAGCCGAUGGUAAAAACCCACGUGACCUAUGGGGUGACCCUGUGGCGAGAGGCUACGUCGUAAAAAAAAAAAAAACACUUGCGAUAUGCCUCCGUCGCAGAGACUGAACGGGAGUGGGCUGAGGUUCUCCCGUAGUGGAGAAUUUUUGGCUUGAGAUACAGUCCGAGCCUCAGGGAUGGAAAAAAAACCUGUGGAACAGCUCGAAUUAGUGACGCGCAUGAAUGGAUUAACGAGAUUCCCACUGUCCCUAUCUACUAUCUAGCGAAACCACAGCCAAGGGAACGGGCUUGGAAGAAUCAGCGGGGAAAGAAGACCCUGUUGAGCUUGACUCUAGUCCGACUUUGUGAGAUGAGUUGGGAGGUGUAGUCUAAGAGGGAGGGGCAACUCGACCGUGAAAUACCUCUACUCCCAAACUUGUUUUACUUACUCCGUCAGUCAGGAAUGGGCUUAAACACCCUUUUUCUAGGAUUAACAUCCCUAACGGUGGACCUGCGCGGAGGACAUUGUCAGGUGGGGAGUUUGGCUGGGGCGGCACAUCUGUUAAAAGAUAACGCAGGUGUCCUAAGAUAAGCUCAAUGAGAACAGAAAUCUCACGUAGAACAAAAGGGUAAAAGCUUAUUUGAUUUUGGUUUUCAGUAUGAAUACAAACUGUGAAAGCAUGGCCUAUCGAUCCUUUUUAACUUCAGAGUUUGAAGCAAGAGGUGUCAGAAAAGUUACGCACACACACACGCACUGUGGUAGCUUUUGAGAGUGGACUCAAAGUGUUCCGCUAGUCUCCUCCCUUUGUGGAAAAAACGAUGGGGGGGGGGGGCGACACUGUCAAAUUGCGGGGACACCCUAAAGCCUGUCUCUACCAAGCCAGGAGGCGAAAGCCCUUGGUGGCCGGGGUAAUGACCUAGGGUAAGGUAAAAACGGGACAGGAUAUACGCGCGCGUGCGCGCAUAGGAUGGGCAAUCCGCAGCCAAGUCCUACGGCUCUGUUUCUCGGGGAGAAAAAAAAAAACAUUUUUCCCGGCGACGCCAUGAGCUAUGGAUGCAGUUCAACGACUAGACGGCAGUGGGCUGGAUGUAUCUAUCGGUACAUCCCGGCUUGAGAUAUAGUCUUGCCCACGCGAAAGCGUGCCUGCAGAAAAACGCCAUCAUGCAUGGCCAGAGCUGCAGGAGGCCUUUUUCUUGUCCAUACAAAAAAGGCUGGGAUUCGACAGUACCACAGGGAUGAAGCACACUCUCAAGCCACAACGAAGCAUGUACACUUCGUUUACGUAUGUCCCAGGUGAGAUGAAUCCUAGCUUCUCAUCUAGUCCGGCCAGUGUCAAUUCAAAGAAGAAAAGGUGCCAAGGACACUGGACAAGUGUGGCGUACACACUGUAGGGCAACACAUCUGGAUGCGGGGACCUCCCGUUAGGGCUCAAGUACCAGACGACGAUUGGUAACACCUCGUCGUGAAGACAUCUAGGAAGUCGGGUUAAAAUCUUGAAGUCUAGGGACAAUCCGCAGCUGACUUGGCUCCCUGCCUCGGGAAAAAGACCAACCUCCCGGUGGCCAUAGCUAAGCGGUUCAACGCUCGGUAAGAUGUGGGUCUAAAUGGAAAAAAACGGUCGUUUUUUCUUCUAUUUGGGCUUAAGGUACGGGCUACUCCCACCCGAGAGGGUGUCUCUGUCUACCUAGAGGAAACUAUAUACAAAAAAAACGCAAACGGCAGCACCCCUCUGGAGAAGCAGAGAGGUCACCCACACUCGCCCUUGUGUAUGUGUGUGUGGCUGGUAUAAAGGAACUGGCUUGUGGCAGCCAAGCGUUCAUAGCGACGUUGCUUUUUGAUCCUUCGAUGUCGGCUCUUCC